GCCUCCGUGGCGCAAAUCGGCUAGCGCGUUCCGGCUAUUAACCGAAAGGUUGUGGUUCGAGCCCACCGGGGCG
This 73-nucleotide transfer RNA is filed under the name Araneus ventricosus. It matches the Rfam family "tRNA". From Rfam's summary of the family: Transfer RNA (tRNA) molecules are approximately 80 nucleotides in length. Their secondary structure includes four short double-helical elements and three loops (D, anti-codon, and T loops). The record is from Rfam by way of RNAcentral. Lineage: Eukaryota; Metazoa; Arthropoda; Arachnida; Araneae; Araneidae.